Molecule: unclassified non-coding RNA, 141 nt
Filed under: uncultured Chaetosphaeriales
Lineage: Eukaryota; Fungi; Ascomycota; Sordariomycetes
Description: sequence contains ITS1
Source: RNAcentral
CAGAAUCGCAAGAUCUCUGCUACCCUCGCGAACCUACCGAAACGUUGCCUCGGCGGUCGCCCGGCCUCCGCGCCGGGUCCGCCGGCGGCCCCCAACUCCGUCUCUGCAGUGUUGUCUCUGAGUUCAUUUACAAAUAUAUCA